ACUCUGGAAAAAAGUGAAUUACCCAUUAAUUCUAAUUAAAAUUCUCACUUUCACAGACAAUAGGCCAUACAACACAGUUAAAGCUCAAUAGCUGAUUUCUUGCUUUUUUCUGUCGUUUAUGAGUAUAGAUGUCUGUAAUUUUUAAUGGAUCAGUUAAGUACACUUGAGAAAGUAAAUGAUUGUAUCAGUUCCUUUCUAGUAUAAAUUGCUACCUGUAAUAAUAUUGAACUCAUUGAAGCAAAUCAUGCAUGCAAUUAGCAACGCCCCAACUCUAGUCCCAUCUCUGUGACAUUUCAAAUGUUUAUUUGGAAAUAAUGACCUGGGUCAUUGUUUAAGGUGUUCAUGGCAUGGUUGGAUUCUCUGAUUGUUUAAAGAAAUUAUGGACUAGUAUUUGCUUAGUGUUUCAUUAAACCUAUGGUAUAAAAUGAAAUGCUACUCCCAGCAGUUUUGGUAUUGUUCGUUCUUAUUGACCUGCAUCUCAUCAUUGCAUGUUUUAUGUUUUCAAACAUGCCAUAAGGAAAGCAAGUGCUUGAAAUGCAUGAUUUAUUAGUUUCUCUCUCCACUCUGCAUUAAAGUACUAAUGAUUUAUCAGUUCUCUUUUUCUAUUGAUUCAUUCAUCUUUGAAUAACAAAUAGCAUCUAGUGAUUCUGUUGAAUGCAAUCCUGUGCAUGGAUUUAUGGAUUUCAAGUGAAAUUGCUGUAAUUUUUGUUCUUUGGUUUGAAAACUCAACUGAAUGCUGUUAUAUCAAAUAGCUACUCUCAAGCAAUGUGCUAUAAUGGAAGAUUAUGUAUAAAGCAUAUUCUUUUAGUGUCCCAGGAAAGUUGGAUGGUAAAUAUCAAUCAACAGUAAGUUUAAUUGCCUUGAAAAUAAAAGCUUUUGAAUAAAAUUAAGACAUAAUUUAGCAUUCCCAGGAAAAUUAUCAUUACAAUUGCAAACGCAGCACAGCAAUCACUUGCCCUAGUAUAAAAGAAAAAAAACUUAUUUGGCGGAGCAGUAAUCUAGACCAAAGGAAAGCUCAAAACACUAACAAAUGCAUUACUGACAUAAUGUUAUAUAACACACACAUUGAUUUUGCGUGUCUAUGGUUACAGGUAAUAAAUAUUUUCACAUAAAUUGACAAAAUUUUCUACAAUGCGCAGACAGGCUCUGUGUCAAAAACAUAUUCUGAAGCCACAAAUUAUUUUAUGUUCAGUACAACAUACAAUUAUUUCUUGGCUACCUUUUAUAGUAUAUCGUGAAGGCAGGAAGAGUUUGUGAAUCAUUCUUAGCAAUCUGUGCCCUGGAAGCUGUUGAAUAGACAGUGGGAUGAGGCAAAUCAAAGAACCUGCCUAUAAGGCUUUAAUAAUUGAAAUCGUGGGAUGCUGCUUUACUCAAUGUAGCUGUGUAACUAUAAUUAGUGAUAAUCUUAGUUACAUUUUUCAGUCAGUGCGAUUCAUUGGUACCAUAAUAAAUGUUCAAAUAAAAGUCAAAUUUCACUUUCCCCAACUCAGUUUCUAAAGAUACUGAUGUGCUUGCCCGUCAAGUACGUGACUCCUGGGAUUUGGAAAGUAGUUUUUAAAAACCUACUUUGAUGGUUUUGAAAUCAGAGAAGAUAUUCUACUCACUUUUAUGACAGCUUCAAGUGGAGAAUAUAUAUUUUAAGGAAAAUUCUAAACUGAAGGUUCUAUGGUAUAUUAAAAUAUUGAAUAAUGAAUGUUAGCUUUACAAGAUGGAAAUUUUUCUUAUACGUGUGUGGGUGAGUGUUUGAGUUGUUGACUCAAUCUCUUUUAAAUAUAGUAGACACAGCAGUGUAAAGUUUUAAGUGGAUGAAGCUCCUAUGUAAAAAUUAACUGGGUUUGCAGGGGUCAAAGGAAAAGGGGAAAAGAGAAAUGCACUUUGCUAAAUAUUGCCAUACCCUGAGUUGAUAAACAGAGAGAGAUUCCAGAAUAAACCUGGAUAUCCAUGCUUCUAAUAGGAAUGGAAGUGUCUAUGAAGAACCAGAAAUUUUAAAGGAUAUAAAUGUAUUUUUCCACUGACAUAUGCAUACCGUGUGCAUUUGCUGCAAAAAGUACUGGUCAAUUUAUUGUGGAAGAAAGGAGAUACCUCGUAGAAAGUGAAGAAAAUAAAAUGUUAAAACAGUUUUCAUUUUAAACCGGUUAUGUGAUUACAGCCAGAAUAAAGCAAAAGGCUCAGAUGUUUACAGUAGUUGACCGCAGGAAGAAAUUUAAAUCCAAUGAGAAUCAAUGAAUCGCAUAUAUUUCCAGAUUUUCUUCUUUUUUCCCUCUUUCAGGGGGAUGGAAAGCAAUUGCAAGUUUUUAGGAAAAAUCUGUUUUGAACCUCAGACUGUGUUCUACUUGAAUGAGACAAAAUUCUUACAUGGCUCCAUUACCUUCUGUGUCAGUUUGUUGUUUAUAAAAAAGAAAAUGUACUUUUCAUGGCACAUAUAACCCUCAAAGAAUUAUUCAAAUAUAAUGCUUAUAUUCCAAAUUAAAAGAUUCAGCCCUUGUAAUAUAUGUUGAGGAUGUAAAAUUUAAAUAAAUAAAUAAACAAAAACCUGCAAAAGAGCUUUUAUUUUGUGAAAAGAAGGAAUCACCCC
RNAcentral lists this long non-coding RNA (2575 nucleotides) under Equus caballus (horse). Its description in RNAcentral is "lncRNA (ENSECAG00000048135.1)". The record is from RNAcentral. Lineage: Eukaryota; Metazoa; Chordata; Mammalia; Perissodactyla; Equidae.